This 869-nucleotide non-coding RNA is filed under the name Margattea spinosa. The record is from RNAcentral. Lineage: Eukaryota; Metazoa; Arthropoda; Insecta; Blattodea; Pseudophyllodromiidae.
UAAUAUUACUUUAAUUGGGUUUGUAAAUUAAGGACUUUGUUGUUAUUUUGUUUAGGUUAAUUUAUAAAAGUAUUAAUUAGAUGAGUUAAAGUUUUAUUCUGGCUUGAAAAAUUUAUUGUUACAUUAAUUUAUAUACUUAUAGGUGUUUAAUUUAAUUAAUCUAGAUGGUUUUUGAAUAAUAGUUAUUGUAAUAUUUUGUAUUAGUUAUGAGGGAUACUUUGAUCUAGUAAUUGUUUAUAAUUGUUGAUAAAGUAUGUGCCAGCAGUCGCGGUUAGACAUUGAAUAUGAAUAAAUUUUGUUGGUUGUGUAGAUUAUAUUUAUGUAUAUGAUAUAGAAUGGGAUUAUUGGGUGGAAUUGAUAAUUUUAUUGUAAUGAUUUAUUUAAUUAUGAUGCUGCGAGAUCAAAUAUAUAAACUAGGAUUAGAUACCCUAUUAUUUUUGAUUUAAAUUGAUUGGGAAUCAAGGUAGUAGUAGGUAUGGGCUUGAAACUUAAAGAAUUUGGCGGUAUUUUAGUCUAUUUAGAGGAAUCUGUUCAGUAAUUGAUAGUCCGCGUUGAACCUUACUUAUUUUGUGUUUGUAUACCGUCGUUGUUGAGAAUCUUUUUAGGGUUAAAUUUUCUUAAUAUUUGAUUGGGAUAAUAUUUCAGAUCAAGGUGCAGUUUAUAGAUAAGUUGAAAUGGAUUACAUUAUUAUUUAUAUGUGGAUAAAUUGUUGUAAUAUAGUGGUUGAGAAUGGAUUUAAUAGUAAUGAUUUGAAUAUUGUUAUUGUGAAAUUAGCUCUGGAAUAUGUACACAUCGCCCGUCGCUCUCGUUAAGUUAAGAUGAGAUAAGUCGUAACAUAGUAGGUGUACCGGAAGGUGUAGCUAGAUUGG